CUUUCUGCGAUUGGACAAAAUGCUGUCAUGGUGGGUGAUUUGGUUGUGUUUGAAAAAACGUCUCGUUAAUUAUAUCGUGAUGGAAAGCAAGUAAAAAACUAUAAAUAGUUGAACUAGAUCUUACAAAGAUUUAUAUUUUUAUUAAAAUAAUUGAUUCUUCAAUAGCUCUUUGCAUCCGUGACAGCUGUUUAUUCGGGACAAUUAUAUAAUUUUUAAUGUAAACUUUG
Molecule: long non-coding RNA, 227 nt
Filed under: Mytilus galloprovincialis (Mediterranean mussel)
Lineage: Eukaryota; Metazoa; Mollusca; Bivalvia; Mytilida; Mytilidae
Source: RNAcentral